RNAcentral lists this ribosomal RNA (1347 nucleotides) under Triticum aestivum (bread wheat). Its description in RNAcentral is "partial small subunit ribosomal RNA". The record is from RNAcentral. Lineage: Eukaryota; Viridiplantae; Streptophyta; Magnoliopsida; Poales; Poaceae.
AUGUGCACGCCAGCGGCGGGUGGCCGCGGGCGCGUGCGCUUGAACGUCGGCGGACGGGUGUUCCAGACCACGGCCGCCACGCUCGCCGCCGCGGGGCGGGACACCAUGCUCGGCGCCAUGCUGGACGCCUCCUGGAACGCCGCGGCCGCGGGCGACGAGGCCGACUACUUCAUCGACCGCGACCCGGCCUGCUUCGCGGUGCUGCUCGACCUGCUCCGCACGGGCGGCCUCCACGUGCCGCCCCACAUCCCCGACGCCGUGCUCUGCCGCGAGGCGCUCUAUUACGGCCUCCUCGACCGCGUCCGCGCCGCGCGCUGGGACGACUUCGACGGCGACCGCCUCCGCCUGGCCGCGUCCGUGCCGGGCCGGGCCGUGGGGGACGGCACGGCCGUCCGCGCGGCGCCCGACGGAGGCUGCUGCGUCGCGCACGGCGGCGCCGUGCGCGUCUACAACUGGAUGCUCGAGGAGCGUCGGCCGGUCUACCUCGACCACGCGCCGGUCAACGACGCGGCCUACCUCGACGCCUCCACGCUCCUCGUCGCCGCGCGCGAGCGCCCCGGCAGGCGGGACAGCGGCGUGGCCGCUUUCUCGGUGCUCACCGGCGAGAUGCGCCACCGCUUCCGCGUCGCGCACGAUCGUCAGGUCAGGUCCUUCACCCCCGGCGCACUGGCCUUCGACCAGGAGUGCAGCAUCUUUGCGAGCUGCAAGGGCCGGCUCAAAGAGUAUGGCAUUGGUGUAUGGGACGGCACCACCGGCGAGCAGACGGGUUUCUUCUACGAGCCGCCCGGCUGCGCCCUCGGGGACGCCGAUAAGCUCCAGUGGCUGGACGGCACCAAAACGCUCAUGGCGGCCACCAUGUUUCCGCGGGCGGAUUCUUCUUUCAUCAGCCUGCUGGAUUUCCGGGACAAGAACGUCGUCUGGUCGUGGUGCGACGUCGGCACGCCGGCGUCGCUCGAGGACAAGCACGCGGUCCACGCCAUCGCAAUGGAGGACGGGAGGUCGAUCUGCGUCAUCAACCAGUACGAUGACCUCGGGUUCCUCGACAUCCGGAGCAGCGCCGGCGGUGUGCGCUGGAGAUCACGGAGCAAGCUGAUGAGCAGGAAGAAGGUGCACGCCGAGGAGACGUGCUAUCCCAAGCUCGCCACGCACGCCGGCCAGCUCUUCGCGUCGACGAACGACGCCAUCUCGGUAUUCACUGGCCCCGACCAUGCACUGACCUCAACGCUGCGCGGGAGCGACGGCGGCGCCAUCUGCGACUUCUCCAUUGGGGGCGACCGUCUUUUCGCCUUGCAUAACGAGGAGAAUGUGUUCGAUGUCUGGGAGACGCCGCCACCGCCGAUCAUCUGA